UACGAAGGGGACUAGCGUUGUUCGGAAUUACUGGGCGUAAAGCGCACGUAGGCGGAUUUGUAAGUCAGGGGUGAAAUCCUGGAGCUCAACUCCAGAACUGCCUUUGAUACUGAGAAGCUUGAGUUCGGGAGAGGUGAGUGGAACUGCGAGUGUAGAGGUGAAAUUCGUAGAUAUUCGCAAGAACACCAGUGGCGAAGGCGGCUCACUGGCCCGAUACUGACGCUGAGGUGCGAAAGCGUGGGGAGCAAACAGG
RNAcentral lists this ribosomal RNA (253 nucleotides) under uncultured bacterium. RNAcentral's name for it is "partial 16S ribosomal RNA". It matches the Rfam family "Bacterial small subunit ribosomal RNA", at positions 524 to 776 of the family's 1533-position model. The record is from RNAcentral.